AGGGGGGCCCGGGCGAGGAUUUGGGGUCCCCCGUGAGGAUUUUGGGGUUCCCCGUGAGGAUUUUGGGGUCCCCGUGGGGAUUUUGGGGUCCUCGCCAGGAGCCCCCCGAGAGCCGCCGGGACCUCGUGCAAGGGAAAUUGGGGGGUUCGGGGGGGUCCUUGAGCCACCAGGACCCGCCGGGACCCCCAAAUUUCACCAAAAUCCACCAAAUUUCACCGUCCUCGCGCACCAGAACCCCCAAAAUUCACUGUUCUUGCACCGGAAACCCCAAAAUUCACCAAAAUCCACCAAAUUUCACCGUCCUCGAGCACCGGAACCCCCGAAUUUCACCAUUUGAGCACCGGAACCCCCAAAUUUCACCAAAAUCCACCAAAAUUUCACCGUCCUCGAGCGCCGGAACCCCCGAAUUUCACCAUUUGAGCACCGGAACCCCCAAAAUUCACAAAAUUUCACCAGAAUUUCACCGUCCACGAGCGCCGGGACCCCCGAAUUUCACCUGGUUCUUGCACCGGGACCCCCAAAAUUCACCAUCCUCGAGCACGGAAACCCCAAAUUUCACCGAAAUUCACCGGAAUUCACCGAAAUUCACCAGAAUUCACCAUCCUCGAGCACGGAAACCCCAAAUUUCACCGAAAUUCACCGGAAUUCACCGGAAUUCACCGGAAUUCACCAUCCUCGAGCACCGGGACCCCCGAAUUUCACCUUCCUCGAGCACCGGAAACCCCAAAUUUCACCAAAAUUCCCCGAAUUUCACCGAAUUUCGCCGCCCUCCAGCACCGGGACCCCCCCCCGGAGCAGCGGGACCCCCGAAUUUCACCGUUCCAGCAGCGGGGUCCCCCCCUCAGGACCCCUC
This is a long non-coding RNA of Cyanistes caeruleus (blue tit), 853 nucleotides long. NCBI's taxonomy places the organism in Eukaryota, Metazoa, Chordata, Aves, Passeriformes, Paridae. The record is from Ensembl.